Molecule: ribosomal RNA, 298 nt
Filed under: Vibrio cyclitrophicus
Lineage: Bacteria; Pseudomonadati; Pseudomonadota; Gammaproteobacteria; Vibrionales; Vibrionaceae
Description: partial 16S ribosomal RNA
Rfam family: Bacterial small subunit ribosomal RNA
Source: RNAcentral
AGCAAGCUAGCGAUAGUGAGCGAAUCCCAAAAAGUGCGUCGUAGUCCGGAUUGGAGUCUGCAACUCGACUCCAUGAAGUCGGAAUCGCUAGUAAUCGUGAAUCAGAAUGUCACGGUGAAUACGUUCCCGGGCCUUGUACACACCGCCCGUCACACCAUGGGAGUGGGCUGCAAAAGAAGUGGGUAGUUUAACCUUUCGGGGAGGACGCUCACCACUUUGUGGUUCAUGACUGGGGUGAAGUCGUAACAAGGUAGCCCUAGGGGAACCUGGGGCUGGAUCACCUCCUUAUACGAAGAUA